GUAUAAUUUUAAAGGCAACAAAGGCCCAUUAAUUACAUUCUAAGACAUACAUUGGGGUAUAUGAAGAAACAUAGGCCUGGAAAUGUAAGGAGAGACAUCAAGCCAAACCUCAGACCUGCGUGGCUAGCCACUCAGAGAGAUAUCCAGGUCUACAAAAGGUGCACAGGUGGAGAUAUAAAGAUGACAAACGUGCACAUGUUCCCUAGAGAACCAGCAACAGCUUAUCAGGUUUACUUCAAUAAUGAUCCUUCCGCAGGUUCACCUACGGAAA
Molecule: unclassified non-coding RNA, 271 nt
Filed under: uncultured fungus
Lineage: Eukaryota; Fungi
Description: sequence contains ITS1
Source: RNAcentral